This 253-nucleotide ribosomal RNA is filed under the name uncultured bacterium. RNAcentral's name for it is "partial 16S ribosomal RNA". It matches the Rfam family "Bacterial small subunit ribosomal RNA", at positions 524 to 776 of the family's 1533-position model. The record is from RNAcentral.
UACGGGGGGGGCAAGCGUUGUUCGGAAUUACUGGGCGUAAAGGGCUCGUAGGCGGCCAACUAAGUCAGACGUGAAAUCCCUCGGCUUAACCGGGGAACUGCGUCUGAUACUGGAUGGCUUGAGUUUGGGAGAGGGAUGCGGAAUUCCAGGUGUAGCGGUGAAAUGCGUAGAUAUCUGGAGGAAUACCGGUGGCGAAGGCGGCAUCCUGGACCGACAUUGACGCUGAUGAGCGAAAGCUAGGGGAGCAAACGGG